UACGUAGGGGGCAAGCGUUGUCCGGAAUCAUUGGGCGUAAAGAGCGUGUAGGCGGCCCGAUAAGUCCGCUGUGAAAGUCCAGGGCUCAACCCUGGGAUGCCGGUGGAUACUGUCGGGCUCGAGUCCGGAAGAGGAGUGUGGAAUUCCUGGUGUAGCGGUGAAAUGCGCAGAUAUCAGGAGGAACACCGGUGGCGAAGGCGGCUUGCUGGGCCUUACCUGACGCUGAGGAGCGAAAGCUAGGGGAGCAAACGGG
This 253-nucleotide ribosomal RNA is filed under the name uncultured bacterium. RNAcentral's name for it is "partial 16S ribosomal RNA". It matches the Rfam family "Bacterial small subunit ribosomal RNA", at positions 524 to 776 of the family's 1533-position model. The record is from RNAcentral.